CCUACGGGAGGCAGCAGUGAGGAAUAUUGGUCAAUGGGCGGAAGCCUGAACCAGCCAAGUCGCGUGAAGGAUGAAGGUAUUAUGUAUUGUAAACUUCUUUAGCAGUGGAGUAAUAAGGUGGUCGUGACCGCCGAUGCAAGUACACUGAGAAUAAGGAUCGGCUAACUCCGUGCCAGCAGCCGCGGUAAU
This 189-nucleotide ribosomal RNA is filed under the name uncultured bacterium. RNAcentral describes it as "partial 16S ribosomal RNA". It matches the Rfam family "Bacterial small subunit ribosomal RNA", at positions 338 to 524 of the family's 1533-position model. The record is from RNAcentral.